This is a long non-coding RNA of Solea solea (common sole), 607 nucleotides long. RefSeq lists it as uncharacterized. Lineage: Eukaryota; Metazoa; Chordata; Actinopteri; Pleuronectiformes; Soleidae. The record is from RefSeq and is a predicted model, not a curated record. The transcript is spliced from 4 exons.
CCGAGGCUCAUUUCAUCACCGUGGACAGCGCUAUGAAAUCACGGCACACAUUGACAAAUGAACUCAUGUGCAUGCUCAAGCUACAAUACAAUUUCAAAUGCAUUCUUUUCUUUUUUUCUUUAGAUACAAGGAAGUGCGGUGCGCCCGGCCCCGCCAGGAUCCCACCUCAGCCCGGCGCGUGUCGGUCUUCACUUAAGCCGCGCGGCGUGGCGCGGCACACAGGCGCACACUCCAUAUCCACACUCCGGCUCAACGCGCACCGCAGCCACUGAACCACCAGGCUCCUCAGUCACAGUGCACAUGUUUUCAAUAAUAAGCCCCGCCCCAAACAUUUCAAGCUUUCACACCUGAUUGGCUGACCAUUGUGCCAAUAUUUAAACUCCUGUGUUGACAGCCGCACCAGAGGGACAGAUCACAGAUCAUCAACGCAAACCUGCUACAAAACCCCGGACUGGUAUUCAUGGACGGACUGAACUGGAUUUGGUUUGCUGGUGAUGAGUUGGAAGCAAGCCAAGAGGGGCAGUGGCCCUGGUGGCAGUAGUGAAUGAAGAUCAGGAUGAGUUGGAAGCAAGCCAAGAGGGGCAGUGGCCCUGGUGGCAGUAGUGAA